GAGGAAUAUGUUCAAUGUGCGCAUUGCUUGAACCAGCCAUGUCGCGUGCAGGAUGACGGCCCUAUGGGUUGUAAACUGCUUUUUUACGGGAAUAAUGUCAUCUACGUGUAGGUGUUUGAAGGUACCGUAUGAAUAAGGAUCGGCUAACUCCGUGCCAGCAGCCGCGGUAAUACGGAGGAUUCGAGCGUUAUCCGGAUUUAUUGGGUUUAAAGGGUCCGUAGGCGGGCUUGUAAGUCAGUGGUGAAAUCCCGGAGCUCAACUCCGGAACUGCCAUUGAUACUGCAGGUCUUGAAUAUAGUUGAGGUAGGCGGAAUACGUUAUGUAGCGGUGAAAUGCAUAGAUAUAACGUAGAACACCGAUUGCGAAGGCAGCUUACUAAGCUAUUAUUGACGCUGAUGGACGAAAGCGUGGGGAGCGAACAGGAUUAGAUACCCUGGUAGUCCACGCCGUAAACGAUGAUUACUCGUUGUGCGCGAUACACAGUGCGCGACUGAGCGAAAGCAUUAAGUAAUCCACCAGGGGAGUACGUUGGCAACAAUGAAACUCAAAUGAAUUGACGGA
This 561-nucleotide ribosomal RNA is filed under the name uncultured bacterium. RNAcentral's name for it is "bacterial SSU rRNA". It matches the Rfam family "Bacterial small subunit ribosomal RNA", at positions 356 to 917 of the family's 1533-position model. The record is from RNAcentral.